Molecule: ribosomal RNA, 253 nt
Filed under: uncultured bacterium
Lineage: Bacteria
Description: partial 16S ribosomal RNA
Rfam family: Archaeal small subunit ribosomal RNA
Source: RNAcentral
UACCAGCACCCCGAGUGGUCGGGACGAUUAUUGGGCCUAAAGCAUCCGUAGCCGGUCCUGCAAGUCUUCCGUUAAAUCCAGCUGCUCAACAGAUGGGCUGCGGGGGAUACUACAGGGCUAGGAGGCGGGAGAGGCAAGCGGUACUCAGUGGGUAGGGGUAAAAUCCUCUGAUCCAUUGAAGACCACCAGUGGCGAAGGCGGCUUGCCAGAACGCGCUCGACGGUGAGGGAUGAAAGCUGGGGGAGCAAACCGG